Molecule: ribosomal RNA, 113 nt
Filed under: uncultured bacterium
Lineage: Bacteria
Description: partial 16S ribosomal RNA
Source: RNAcentral
CGGAAUACGUUCCCGGGCCUUGUAACACACCGCCCGUCACACACGAAAGUCCGCUGCCAACAAGGAAGGUGCCCGGUUUACCGGGCCCGAAGUUGUGGCUGAUGAUUGGGGUG